AGCGAACGCUGGCGGCAGGCCUAACACAUGCAAGUCGAGCGGCCGUAGCAAUACGGCAGCGGCAGACGGGAUAGUAACACGUGGGAACGCGCCCUUCGGUUCGGAAUAACUCAGGGAAACUUGAGCUAAUACCGGAUACGCCUUACGGGAAGAUUUAUUGCCGAAGAACGGUCCGCGUCGGAUUAGCUAGUUGGUGAGGUAAUGGCGUCACCAAGGCGACGAUCCGUAGCUGGUCUGAGAGGAUGACCAGCAUCACUGGGACUGAGACACGGCCCAGACUCCUACGGAGGCAGCAGUGGGGAAUAUUGGACAAUGGGCGCAAGCCUGAUCCAGCCAUGCCGCGUGGAUGAUGAAGGCCCUAGGGUUGUAAAGUCCUUUUAACGGGAAGAUAAUGACGGUACCCGUAGAAUAAGCCCCGGCUAACUUCGUGCCAGCCGCCGCUGUAAC
This 447-nucleotide ribosomal RNA is filed under the name uncultured bacterium. RNAcentral describes it as "bacterial SSU rRNA". It matches the Rfam family "Bacterial small subunit ribosomal RNA", at positions 29 to 524 of the family's 1533-position model. The record is from RNAcentral.